AUCUUGGAAUGGAUCGCAGAUCUGCGGAGACACACCGGGUUGCAGUUCCCACCUCGUCCAGAGGCGGCGGUAAGUCCACCGCAGGACCCUGGCCAGAAGGCCGACCUUGGGGUCCUUGAUUUUCAAUCUGGUCCGCCAGAGGGGUCUAAAGGAGGAGGAGCAAGCGCGGCUUCAGCCAUUCGUGGGUACAGUUGCGCCGGGCGUCUCAGGGGCGCCGUCUGGGCGGGAGCCGGGGCUUCGGAGUCGUCACGUCUCCACGACCGCCCGCGCCUGCUGCUGAUAGAACGAGCUCCUUGUGUGAAGGCUGUGAUUAUCCGGGAUGUGUUUGCAGGAUGGUGGGGGCCUUACUGCAUGGACCCUGAAGCAGGGGGGCCCAGACCAGGUGGAUCUGGGCCUGGUGGGCUGUGAGGCCUGCAGGUGGAGAGAGGACUCUCAUCUGUGCGGCGUCGCGGCCGGAGCCACCAUCAGAGACGCUGCGCGACGCCCGGAAAAGCAAAAUUGAGUC
This is a long non-coding RNA of Herpailurus yagouaroundi (jaguarundi), 505 nucleotides long. RefSeq lists it as uncharacterized. NCBI's taxonomy places the organism in Eukaryota, Metazoa, Chordata, Mammalia, Carnivora, Felidae. The transcript has 3 exons. The record is from RefSeq and is a predicted model, not a curated record.